Long non-coding RNA from Gasterosteus aculeatus aculeatus (three-spined stickleback), 1301 nucleotides. NCBI's taxonomy places the organism in Eukaryota, Metazoa, Chordata, Actinopteri, Perciformes, Gasterosteidae. The record is from Ensembl.
GUGUGUGUGUGUGUGUGUGUGUGUGUGUCUCUGGUUCUUCUGCCUUUGUGAGGACGUCCUGGGCCUCUCGGCUCUGUGAGGUUCUACUAGAGGUCAAACAGCAGCAGGACGCUGAGGUCGGAGUGCGACAGGAAGCCGUCACGUCCAGGUGAAGACAGGCGUCCACGCUCACCCGAAGGAGGACAAUGUGACAAUGAGAGAGAACAAAUGGGACCUUCUGAUACGAUCAAAGUCUUCUCUCCAGGACUCAGUGUUGGAUGACGCGAGCGCUGAAUGGACCGAACAGAACCCGGGGAGACAACACAGGUGAAUUAAAGCUGAUUCACGUGUCAUGUGCUGCUGGUGUCGAAGCUCAGGACCAAAGAUCAAGUUCUGAUCUGUGCCUGGAGACGUAGAGAUGGAGGAGCUCACAAGCACAGCUGAACAAUUAAUGACGAGUUAUUCUGCUAAAACAGUAAAUGUUCAUAAUAAUCGUGCACAGGUUGGAAUAUCUUUGACAAUAGCUUUACUUCGACAGACAAUUUUCAUUUGGUUUUAGUCUUUUUUAGGGAUGUUUUUCUUCCAUGUCUUAUUUCAGAGCGGUGAGUAGAAGAAAAAUAUCCCAAAUACAUAUUACAUUGUUUGUCUACUUUAGAUUUCUGCUAAAUUCAAAGAGUUACCAUUACUUAACAACGAAUUUGCAUACUCAAAAUUACAUUUGAGGAAACUCAUAACGCUCCAAAUGUGGUGAUGAGCUGCUGAGGUUGAUGUUUACUCGUUGAUUCUUUGAUGUUCUUCCGUUCUUGUCGUCAUGGACUAAACUUCUCUCCUUAAAAUGAGUUUGUUCUCACGCUCUGAUCCAGAAUCCUCCUUCAGGAGCUCUUACAUCAGCGACUUUACAGCUUAACUCCUCUGCUCUGGAGGUUUGUUCACACUUCAUUCACACACUCUUAUACUACAUUUGUUAUUAAAACAUGGAGGAAAUUUAUGGAUUGUACCCUCUUAAAUUAAGUAAAAAAACUUUGGGCAGUUUACAAGAUGAUCUAUUUGAAAACGGGAGUAAAAACUAUAAAAUAUUGAAAUAUAGAAAUAUGCUUUUUGAGCUGAUAUUUUUGUCUUUGCCUGUUGAAUGAAGCCAAACCAAGUGAACAUGUGGAUUCAAUUUGGAGACACAACCUGUUAAAUAAAGUUGUGGAUAUUUAAUAUGGCUUCAUUACCGUCAUCAAUCUUUGGCUCCCAACUGUUGAUUAAUCAGGACACGUUAUGUAACGGCGGCACAGCGGCAUGAGGACCCCCCCCCCCCCCCCCACCCCACGCAUACA